This 301-nucleotide ribosomal RNA is filed under the name uncultured bacterium. RNAcentral describes it as "partial 16S ribosomal RNA". It matches the Rfam family "Bacterial small subunit ribosomal RNA", at positions 509 to 808 of the family's 1533-position model. The record is from RNAcentral.
CAGCAGCCGCGGUAAUACGUAGGUCCCGAGCGUUGUCCGGAUUUAUUGGGCGUAAAGCGAGCGCAGGCGGUUAGAUAAGUCUGAAGUUAAAGGCUGUGGCUUAACCAUAGUACGCUUUGGAAACUGUUUAACUUGAGUGCAAGAGGGGAGAGUGGAAUUCCAUGUGUAGCGGUGAAAUGCGUAGAUAUAUGGAGGAACACCGGUGGCGAAAGCGGUUCUCUGGCUUGUAACUGACGCUGAGGCUCGAAAGCGUGGGGAGCAAACAGGAUUAGAUACCCCCGUAGUCCCUGUCUCUUAUACA